RNAcentral lists this ribosomal RNA (615 nucleotides) under uncultured Wilcoxina. RNAcentral's name for it is "eukaryotic LSU rRNA". The stretch from base 113 to 266 matches the Rfam family "5.8S ribosomal RNA". The record is from RNAcentral. Lineage: Eukaryota; Fungi; Ascomycota; Pezizomycetes; Pezizales; Pyronemataceae.
CUGACUUUGGUCACUCUUGUGAUGUAAAUCCCAAGGGAGUCCCCAUGGAAGGUCAUCAAUAAAACUCAUGUAUCCAAUGUCUUCUGUCUGAACUGUUUAUAACAAAUGUUAAAACUUUCAACAACGGAUCUCUUGGUUCUCGCAUCGAUGAAGAACGCAUCGAAAUGCGAUAAGUAUUGUGAAUUGCAGAAUUCAGUGAAUCAUCGAAUCUUUGAACGCACAUUGCGCCUCCUGGUAUUCCGGGAGGCAUGCCUGUUCAAGCGUCAUUAAAUACCUCUCAAGCACCAUUGCUUGGUCAUGGAAGAUGAGUAUGCUUGCAUUCUCCCUUCUGAAAUUCAAAGGCGGAUCAUCUCAUAUUCCCUGGCGUAGUAAGUGUUUAUCUUUCGCUUGGAGUGUGUGACAGUCUUGCCAUCGACCCCCAUUAUUUCAAGGUUGACCUCGGAUCAGGUAGGGAUACCCGCUGAACUUAAGCAUAUCAAUAAGCGGAGGAAAAGAAACCAACAGGGAUUGCCUUAGUAACUGCGAGUGAAGCGGCAAAAGCUCAAAUUUGAAAUCUGGCGUCUUUGGCGUCCGAAUUGUAAUUUGGAGAGGCAUCUUCGGUGAUGGCGCUGCCCU